CCGAGUUUUCAACUCCCAAACCCCUGUGAACAUACCUAUCGUUGCCUCGGCGAGAGUAGCCCCAGGCGUUGGCGCAAGCCUUCGCCCUGGUAUCAGGCGCUCGCCGGAGGACCCAACUAAACUCUUGUAUUCUAAAGAAUCUUCUGAGUAACCAAAACAAAUAAAUUA
Molecule: unclassified non-coding RNA, 168 nt
Filed under: uncultured Ascomycota
Lineage: Eukaryota; Fungi; Ascomycota
Also listed under: 1 other name
Description: sequence contains ITS1
Source: RNAcentral